This 77-nucleotide non-coding RNA is filed under the name Serpula lacrymans var. lacrymans S7.3. Its description in RNAcentral is "Eukaryotic small subunit ribosomal RNA". It matches the Rfam family "Eukaryotic small subunit ribosomal RNA", at positions 1 to 77 of the family's 1831-position model. The record is from Rfam by way of RNAcentral. Lineage: Eukaryota; Fungi; Basidiomycota; Agaricomycetes; Boletales; Serpulaceae.
UACCUGGUUGAUCCUGCCAGUAGUCAUAUGCUUGUCUCAAAGAUUAAGCCAUGCAUGUCUAAGUAUAACAAGUUGUG